Non-coding RNA from Camellia sinensis, 3538 nucleotides. Lineage: Eukaryota; Viridiplantae; Streptophyta; Magnoliopsida; Ericales; Theaceae. The record is from RefSeq and is a predicted model, not a curated record.
GUCCCUAACAAAUAAUUUUGUCCCUAAAUUUUGGUCUUUAAAAUCUUAAUUUUUUGUAGUGUUUUGUGGAAUUCUAUUGUAAUCUUGACUUAAAAUUGUUUCUUGCAAAAAAAAAAAAAAAAUUAUGAUUUUUCAUGUGGCAACUGAUGUCUAAGAUGAAACUAAUGUCUUGGGUUCUGACACUCCCAAGUCCCAACCUUUUAGAAGUACUUGUUCCGGGUUGAUAUGAAAUGGGAUGUGUUAUAUGGACUCAAAUACAAGUGUUGAGUGUGAAUAUGUAUUUAAGUGUCCAAGGAUACAGAGACAUAGCAAAGUGUUCAUAUUUUUUAAUAUAAUUAUUUUAUUUUCUAGGAUAAAACUCUGUUUAUAAUUAUUAAAUUCUGUUACUCCUUGGUCACUAUGAUCUCGAGACAUCUUGGAGCAGGCAACCGGUGCAAGUGACGUUUAGUGCAUUGCAUUAAUAAUCUUCACCAUUGUCUCUCUCAAUUACCACUUCCCAAGUAGAGGGGUUUUUUUUAUAUUAUUAUUUUUAUCAUGUGAAAUAACUAGUUUUCCUUUAUCACUGUAAAUUUUAUCAAUUAAUUUUUUUUUUUUAGACAUUAUGAAAGUGGAAGAGGUCAUGCUGCAAAAUUUGAAUGGGAAAGUUCAGUAUUAUUUAGUAUUUUUCAUUAGCUUAGCUCAAAAUCACUUUCUUCAUUAUCAUCCAAAUGAAUUAGAGAUAUAAGAGAAGUAAUUUAAUAGGAUUCUCGUAGCCAAAACUAGAACCCUUGGCACAAAGUGUUUGAAAUAACUACCUUUACAUUGUUGUUUCAAAUCUAUAACGACAAAGCUCUCAAAUUCAAUUUAUCAAAAAAAAAAAAAAAAAAAAAAGGCUCUCAGAUUCAAUCUUGAUAUUCAUAUCUAAACUAUCAAAUCUAAAUUUAAGUUAUUCUGUUUGAAUGGAAGAUGUCAAAUUCUUUCAUUUUACAACCAUAAAUUCAAAGACAACCUAAAAUUGUAGUUCUAAUGAAACAUAACUUCAAAAAACUAAAAAAGAUGAGAAGUAGCCUCUAAGUAACCAAUUUGGUUGCUGCAAUCUUGCCAUCAUUGCUAUCAAAUGAACAAACAUUCAUAUAUAUAUAUGUGUGUGUGUGUGUGUGUGUGUGUGUAUGGUUAAACCAUUGUGUUGUGCACACAAAUCCGGAGUGCUUUGUUUGCUUGCUAGUUGUAUAACUUAAAUAGAAGGGGCUUCAUAGCUUGAAUUGAAUAUGGAGUUACUAUUGUCAACUGAUGAAAAGAGAAACGGUUGGUAGGUUAAUUAACAAUCUAAAUAAUUUUGAACUCCUCUUUAUGUUGAUUGUUUUCUCCACAAAAUCACUUUAGAGCUCGUCAUAGUGGCUCAGUUCAGCCAUUUUGUCCAUUUUUGUGAACCCUUUUACCCUUUCAAAUCCAUAUUAAAAUGUUAAAAUGCUUUUGGUUGCAUAUAAUUUUUAUCCAACCGCGGUACAAAAAAAAAAAAAAAAAAAAAGUUUUUGCGUUUGCUUUUUCCACUUCAUACAAUGGUAUGUGUUAAUUUGCAUUUGCUGCUGAAAUUAUUUGAAAACUUGCGGGCAACUGAGUGAAUUGGAUAUGUUUUAACAUAGUUAUUAGUUAUCUUGUGUUAGUUCAAGCUGGCCUACCCCUUGUUAUUUUGCAUUUAUUUUCACUUUUUAUUCAUUUCCUGUGAACAUUUUCUUAAUGUGUUUUUGACCAAUGAAGUUUUGUGGUGAGCUUAGUAAUGACCACAGCAGUAAUUUAAUCAAAUCUCAAGUGACUAAGGAUUAUUGAGAACCAUGUAUCCUGCAUUUCUUAACCUCCACAAGGGAAAAUUCAUGCAUAGAAUAUCAAUCAAAAGAGCAUGAGAGAGAGAGAGAGAGACUUACCAGAAAAAAAAAAAUUGUGAAAAACAGGGCAUUUUGGCCAUAUGUGUAAUCUGAUAUACAGAAUGUAAUAGUGAGCAGAUUGUUUCUCUUUAUCGCCAACUAUUGCAGAGGCUUAACUCCCCUGAUUUGCCGCUGAACUUGGCAGCAAGACUGGCCAAAAAAGAUGAGGUUCGUGCCAUCUUCAUGCUGGCUUCUGAGGGGCGAUCCCUCCACAACAUCAACGAUCUCAUUGAUGCUGCUGAGUACUCCCUCUCCCUCUUAAGAAAAGGCCAAAUCCCCAAAUACAUCCAAUGAAUAAGUGAACGACAACAACCAUAAUUCAUUUCUGUAUCAAUUUUGUGGCUCUACUGCUCUAUGGGAACCAGCAACAAGGUUAACUCUUGGCAUUAAUUUUGCAUUGAGUGCAAUAAUAUGAAACAUUAUUACUUCAAUAAAUUUCUAACAGCUCUUAGUUACCAAAGAUGGUAGAUAUUUUGUUGAAUAUGGCCUUUUCCCAACUUUUUGAAUAGGGCUUAAUUUGAUUCCUGGGUCUGCGACUGUCUAUAUGUGCUGUUUCCUAUGGACCCCAGCUAUGUCAAUGCCAUUUUUACCCAAAUUUCCAACCCAAAUAUUAGUAUUUACAAUGUGAUCAUCUGAUGCUUUUCUUGUUUCAAGAACUACAACGAUUUGUUAACUAAAUUAUUAUUUUUUUGUUUUUUAAACAUGAAUUGCUUGCGAAAGGCAUGGUUUCGGGUAGCCACAUGUACCCUUUUAUUCUCAGGGCAUGUGCACAAUCAAGUGCAUUGAGAUAAAUAAGGGCAGGAGGUUCAUGUGCAUGCAGUUAAGUUGGAUUGGUAUCGGAUUUGUAUGUAAUGAACACGAGAUGAGGAUGUAUGUUGUUUGUGGGGUUAUUGAAGCAGUCCAAAAAUCGUUUGAUGGAAGUUCUCAUAGAGAUUUGGUUUCAUGGACGAUGUUGAUUUAGGGAUAUGUUAAGAUGGUUUUUGGAAAGAAGGUACACGGGUAUUUUUCUAGACAUGUGAAGUAUAUUUUGAAGCCCAAUAAAUGAUGAUGGUAAUAGUUCUUUCUGCAUUUGCUAAUUUGGGAGAUUUAAGUUUGGGUAGGAGGAUACAUGGGUAUAUGCGUGAUCAUAAUGUGAAUUUGUGUGUUUGUUGGGGAUCUGUUGGUUGAUAUGUCCUUGAAAUACGUCGAUACAAAUUUUGCUCUUGGAAUUCUAUGAUACCAGGAUUAUGAUCAAAGGAAAUUCAAAGAAGCCUUAAAUGUUUUUAGGAAGAUGCAGAGUAGAGGUGUCAACCCAAAUUUCAAAUCAUACCUAUAAAGUAACGAGAUGUACAUUAGUGGCAGUGGACACGUAUAAAUUAUUUUCUUAAAUGGAACUGACUAGAGUAGCACUGUCAGACCGUGUUCCACCAUCUAUUCUAAAAACAAUUGGUAUUAGGGAGGGUUUCACUUACGUCUUUUGGGGCGUUUGACAUCAGGCCUGUAUAGGUUUGUUCUUAGAGCUGUCGUAAGGAGUAGCAUUCUGCACCCAAUGAUUCCUCCCUCACGAUGAUAUGCUCCUGCGAUGAUACCCAUUUGUCAGAUCACGUUUCACCAUUGAGACCUUGGAAAAUGGCAAAAAUCAUUUUUUAAAUUAGAGA